GAAGGUUGUUGAGCUCCUGGAGUUUCUGGAAAGGAAGACAGAGAGGAAAAUCAUGAAGGGGACACAAGAGCAGCCACUGUCCACAGGGGGCGGAGCCCCAACACCACAGAUGAGGGACCACACUCUGCUUUUAUGCAGGGCUGGGAUGUCUGAACUUAGUGCCGAGUUUUCACAGUGUUUUGGAUUUCCUCAAUUUUUGUGACAUCAGUUCCCGACUCCUCAAGUUUUCCUUCCACAUUCCGAACUUGGAUGUUUUACGUGUCUCUAAAGAGGCCUGGUGUACAUGAGCGUUCCCUGUGAUGUACUGACACCCCAGGAUUUGUUCCUGCCCUGCACCCUGUGAUACCGAGGCAGAUUACAGCUCAUGAAGACCCUAAAACUGGACUAGGCCCCUUCAAUAAUGAGAUGGAUUUGCUUCUUCCAGUUACUGCCCUUUUUGCUAAGUAAAUAACAUAAAGACUGAGUGUUUAAAGGUAUCAUUCCCUAAAUAUUUAAUAUUCACAGAGGCAUUAUUGUUUUGAGAUUGCACAUAUAAGUGCCUUACAUCGCUCCUUACAUACAUGCUUAAUGCAUGCAUUUCCAAUUUAAUUCUUCUUUUUAAAUUUGUUCUUCCACAAAUCUUAAGCACUUCUACCAAUGCUAAGAACAGACUGCUUGAUCCUAAUCAGCCCAGCUUCACUGGCAGGCAUUGUACCAAGAUGGCUCUACUUCCUGUUGUCGACACAUUACAGCAGGCAACACUUACUGAUACGUCCUCUCUCAAAAUCUUUUUAGAUCUCUCCUCUGCAAUCGACACACUCGACCCCCAGAUCCUUCUUGCCAGACCAUUAGGACGGCCCUUAGUGUGGUUGAAUCCUACCUCUAGGGCAGAUCCAACCACGUGCUUUAGCUUGGAGAGAUUUCAGGUGUGCACCAGGGAAGCAUAAAAGUGCCCCAAGGAUCAGUUCUGGCUCCUCUCCACUUCUCUCUAUACACCUCCCGACUGGGCCCAUUAUAAAGUCUCGCGAUUUCUCUUAUCAGUGCUAUGCAAAUGAUAGGCAGCUGGACUUGUCAUUCCCUCCAGAGGACCACACGGUGUCCGCUAGAACCUCUGCGUGCAUCACUGAUAUCUCAACCUGGAUGAAGAAACACCAUCUCAGGCUCAACCUGGCAAAAGAUGGACCUUCUUGUUAUCUCAGUUUCUCUGUCUAUCCAACAGCCCAUGUCUGUUCAAUUUGGAGGAGGGUGGUGAUCAACGACCAGCUGUUCUUCACUAAGCAUGUGGCAAAUAUCUUUCAGUCUUGUAGAUUGUGGAGUGAUGCAUUGUGUUAGCCAUUAUGAAGUGAAGUAAAAUGACCCCUUAUAUUGGCUAACUGAACAGAUUACGAUAUGCAAGCUUUCAGGGCAGCUCAGACCCCUUCAUCAGGCAAGCUGUAGACCUGAGCUAUCUCAAAAACUUGAAUAUUGUCAUCUGCUCAGUUAGCCAAUAAAAGGGAUCACUUUUGCUUCACUUCUCAUUACAGUCUUGCAGAUUUAUUUUAAGACUAGCCAUCCCCCUGGGCUUCGCCCGCGUAUUAGUGAAACAGGACAGCGAGGAGGCCCAGCCCAGCUCCCUACUCCUGACGUCACUCUUCCCUCUGUCCUCGGCCUGCAGCCUCGGUCUCGGAUUAGCACGAACGUAUUGCUAAUGUAAGCGAACUAUGAGUCUUAGCGAGAUGAGAGAAGUCGCAAAAUCAACCGGAAUGUUCAAGCAAAUUACAGAAAAAAAAAGAUCUAAAUCCGUUAAGUAGUUCUCUUGUUCACUAACUAAGCAGACUUAAGGUUACGCUUCAAGGCACACGCAUGAGUGAGGAGGGCCCCGCAGCCUGAUGAGUCUCUCUGGCAUUUGCGCUAAUAAUUCAGUACCGCAAGCAAACUAUGAUACUUAGCGCAAGGAGAAAGUCUCAGAAAUCAACCGACGUGUUCAAGCAAAUUAUUGAAAAAAAUAACAUCUAAAUCCGUUAAGUAGUUCUCUCG
This is a long non-coding RNA of Polypterus senegalus (gray bichir), 1995 nucleotides long. RefSeq lists it as uncharacterized. The transcript has 3 exons. The record is from RefSeq and is a predicted model, not a curated record. Lineage: Eukaryota; Metazoa; Chordata; Cladistia; Polypteriformes; Polypteridae.